Long non-coding RNA from Corapipo altera (White-ruffed manakin), 180 nucleotides. RefSeq lists it as uncharacterized. NCBI's taxonomy places the organism in Eukaryota, Metazoa, Chordata, Aves, Passeriformes, Pipridae. The record is from RefSeq and is a predicted model, not a curated record. The transcript has 3 exons.
ACCAAGGACAUUAUUUCCCAGGUUAUCCAUGACUGUGAGACCUGCGCUACCAUUAAACAGGCUAAGAGACUGAAGCCCCUAUGGUAUGGUGGACGUUGGAGUAAGUAUAGGUAUGGGGAGGCCUGGCAAGUUGAUUACAUCACACUGUCACGAACCUGCCAAGGCAAUCGGAAGAGCAGA